CAUCUUGACGGUACCUAACCAGAAAGCCACGGCUAACUACGUGCCAGCAGCCGCGGUAAUACGUAGGUGGCAAGCGUUAUCCGGAAUUAUUGGGCGUAAAGCGCGCGUAGGCGGUUUUUUAAGUCUGAUGUGAAAGCCCACGGCUCAACCGUGGAGGGUCAUUGGAAACUGGAAAACUUGAGUGCAGAAGAGGAAAGUGGAAUUCCAUGUGUAGCGGUGAAAUGCGCAGAGAUAUGGAGGAACACCAGUGGCGAAGGCGGCUUUCUGGUCUGCAACUGACGCUGAUGUGCGAAAGCGUGGGGAUCAAACAGGAUUAGAUACCCUGGUAGUCCACGCCGUAAACGAUGAGUGCUAAGUGUUAGGGGGUUUCCGCCCCUUAGUGCUGCAGCUAACGCAUUAA
Molecule: ribosomal RNA, 400 nt
Filed under: Staphylococcus pseudintermedius
Lineage: Bacteria; Bacillati; Bacillota; Bacilli; Caryophanales; Staphylococcaceae
Description: bacterial SSU rRNA
Rfam family: Bacterial small subunit ribosomal RNA
Source: RNAcentral